AGUGAUUUCCUGAGCUCUUUCGCAUAUGCUGUAUGGUAAGAAUGAAUUUCUGCCAGUUGAUACCGGUGACAGGUGUUAAUUAUUAAAUUUAUCUUUGUAUUUUUUUUUUAUUAAAGGUCAGAGAAUGGAUGGAUUAUCCAGUCACGGUACAUAAUGAAAGACUUGACUGAGUUAGAAGAAGCUGAGCGACUCUUCAAUGUGAAGAUGUUAUGAUGCAGUUGUGUCAAAGUACUCGUUUUGGCUGGCCAGAUUAGAACAGACCUGAAUGGGAAGAUGGCAGAGCUAAGACUGGCAAUGUCCAGGAAAAAUGUUAACUAAAAAUGAGUGUGUUUUUCCCCAGCGAGUGAGUUUGGGAAUGUUUUAAAUGUGCCUAGAAGUUUGAAAAUGUAAUACUGAGGGAAAAAAGUGAGCGCUUUGAAAAGGCUUUAAAAAGAAAAUAAAGUCUGAAGUUGAUGUUAAAUGAAAUUAAAGUUUUUAUUAGAAAAGUUUGUACUUGUUUGUACUUGUCAAGUCUGUGCUGA
This is a non-coding RNA of Misgurnus anguillicaudatus (oriental weatherfish), 521 nucleotides long. The record is from RefSeq and is a predicted model, not a curated record. Lineage: Eukaryota; Metazoa; Chordata; Actinopteri; Cypriniformes; Cobitidae.